RNAcentral lists this ribosomal RNA (378 nucleotides) under uncultured bacterium. RNAcentral's name for it is "bacterial SSU rRNA". It matches the Rfam family "Bacterial small subunit ribosomal RNA", at positions 521 to 896 of the family's 1533-position model. The record is from RNAcentral.
UAAUACGUAGGGGGCAAGCGUUGUCCGGAUUUAUUGGGCGUAAAGAGCUCGUAGGCGGUUCCGUAAGUCGAGUGUGAAAAAUCUGGGCUCAACCCAGUGGAGCACUCGAUACUGCGGUGACUAGAGUACGGUAGAGGAGUGUGGAAUUCCUGGUGUAGCGGUGAAAUGCGCAGAUAUCAGGAGGAACACCAACGGCGAAGGCAGCACUCUGGGCCGGUACUGACGCUGAGGAGCGAAAGCGUGGGGAGCAAACAGGAUUAGAUACCCUGGUAGUCCACGCCGUAAACGUUGGGCACUAGGUGUGGGGAGGAAUCAACCCUCUCCGUGCCGUAGCUAACGCAUUAAGUGCCCCGCCUGGGGAGUACGGCCGCAAGGCUA